UCAGGAUGAACGCUGGCGGCGUGCCUAAUACAUGCAAGUCGAGCGAACAGAUAAGGAGCUUGCUCCUUUGACGUUAGCGGCGGACGGGUGAGUAACACGUGGGUAACCUACCUAUAAGACUGGAAUAACUCCGGGAAACCGGGGCUAAUGCCGGAUAACAUAUAGAACCGCAUGGUUCUAUAGUGAAAGAUGGUUUUGCUAUCACUUAUAGAUGGACCCGCGCCGUAUUAGCUAGUUGGUAAGGUAAUGGCUUACCAAGGCGACGAUACGUAGCCGACCUGAGAGGGUGAUCGGCCACACUGGAACUGAGACACGGUCCAGACUCCUACGGGAGGCAGCAGUAGGGAAUCUUCCGCAAUGGGCGAAAGCCUGACGGAGCAACGCCGCGUGAGUGAUGAAGGGUUUCGGCUCGUAAAACUCUGUUAUUAGGGAAGAACAUAUGUGUAAGUAACUGUGCACAUCUUGACGGUACCU
RNAcentral lists this ribosomal RNA (474 nucleotides) under Staphylococcus gallinarum. RNAcentral describes it as "bacterial SSU rRNA". It matches the Rfam family "Bacterial small subunit ribosomal RNA", at positions 24 to 480 of the family's 1533-position model. The record is from RNAcentral. Lineage: Bacteria; Bacillati; Bacillota; Bacilli; Caryophanales; Staphylococcaceae.